Molecule: long non-coding RNA, 6547 nt
Organism: Cannabis sativa
Lineage: Eukaryota; Viridiplantae; Streptophyta; Magnoliopsida; Rosales; Cannabaceae
Exons: 5
Source: RefSeq, a predicted model, not a curated record
AAAAACCCACUUGAACAAGCCCAGCCCAGCCCCUCUUCUUCUUUUGAUCCAACCCCUCUUCUUCUUCUUCCUCCGUUCGUCCACAUCCCCAGCCGCCAUCUUUCCUCCUCCAUUCGUCAGCCGUUUAUCCUCCUCUGUUCGUCCCUGUCCCCAGCCGCACUAGAACACUAGCAGGAGCGCCUCCUCCAGCCGAUCCCCAGCCAUCUGCUCCUCCUCUGGCCGUUCCCAAUCUCGAACAAAAAUACCAGCAAUGAAAAUGGCACUCAUCUUCUUCCUUAGGCUGUGAUAAAGCAAUUUAGUGGGACUGGCUAUGAAAGAUCGGAUGUCAUGGUGAUAGAUGAGAUUAAAAUGCAGAGAAAUCAACAACUUGAGAAACUUUAUAGAUCCACUCAUUUCAUAAAGGUUUAGGAAAGCUCAUUGAUGACUUUUGAGCUAUCUGUAAAUGUUCGAGAGAUGUGGCUCGUUUGCAUUUGCAACUAGAAGCAGCAAGGCUUGCUUCAUCGGCCAAAGGGUAUCAUCCAGUUCAUGUGCUUUUUGUGACCGAGUGCUUUCCAAUCUCGAAUCUGUUUACUUGUAAAGAUCUCGUUACACAAGAAGGGAAUGUCUGGCUGUAUGAACCAGAUCGUAAUAAAUUGAGGGAUAAGGUUCAGCUCCUAGUUGGGUCAUGUGAACUUUCAAUUCCUCUUAAUGCUAAAGGUUUUGGCGUUUUGCAAGUGUUUGAAAAGAAUGUGAGUCAAGUGGGAAUUUCAAUCUCGAUUCAUUGGAGGUAUAUAUAUAUUUUUUUAUAAUUGCUUUAUUAUAUCACAUAUAAUUUAUAGAAGAGUUUGAAUAUCUUAUAUAUUCAUUCAUAGCAAAGUAGGUUCUGCGAAAUUUGUGUGCCGCGGUGAUGUAAGGAUGAAAUAUUGUGUGUUAUCCAAUAUUUAUAGUUGAAAUUGACAGAUGGUUAGGUUAAUAAAAUAGGGAAAAUGCUGUCUGAUUUUUCGUAGAUAUGUUUCUCAUAUUUUUAAAACAAUUGCAUGGAUUAAUUGAUAGAUAUGUGAAUAUGGUGUUAAUAUAGGUUAAAAUAGAAUGUCUGGUCAAGUCAAUUUUAAUUUUGAGGAUGAUGUUGAUUUUGUGCCAUCAAUUGCAAAUGAAGUACAAUUUGUUAGUAAUACAGUAGACGAAACUCAGACUACAGGGACAGUUUAAAAAGAACCUCUCGUGCAUGAGAUCAUUUCACACGGCAAAAUAUUGAUGGAAAAUUAAAGCAGUUUGUAAUUAUUGUGAGCGUAAGCUGGUGGGAGAAAGUUCUAAAGGGACUAGGUAUUUAAAUUCUCACGUAGAGAGGCGUCCAGUAAGAAAGGCCCAACUUGCCGCUAAUCCUAGUGCAACUGCAAGCCCUUUAGUUACUUUUAAUUUUGAUCCUGAUUUAGGAAUAAUCAAAUUUGUUCAAAUGAUUGUUAAGUAUGAAUAUCAUUUGUCUAUGGUUGAGCGUAGCGGGUUUAUAGAAUAUUUAAGUACUUUGUGUUCCAUGUUUUAAAUGGUGUUAAGGAAUACGUUUAUGUCUGACAUUAUUAAAAUGUAUAAAACUGAAAAAGAAAAGUGCAGGCAAAUUUCGGAUAAAAGUAGGAGUAGAAUAGUCAUAACUAGUGACAUGUGGACUGCAAAUUAUUAGAAGAGAGGAUAUAUGGCUGUAAUAGCUCAUUUUAUUGAUGAUUCUUAGAAAUUACACAGUUAGAUAUUAAGUUUUAAGUAUGUUUCGUGUCCUCGCGAUACUCCAACACUACUUGAGGCCUUAAGAUCUUGUCUUAAUGAAUGAAAAAUAGAAGACAAGAUCAGAAUAGUGACUCUCGAUAACUGUACUUCAAAUGAUGCUAUGAUUGAGCUUUUGAAAGGACAAUUUGAGCCUGACAGUUUUAUUUUAAAGGGAAAGUUGCUACAUGUGCGUUGUUGUGCACAUUUUAAAUCUAAUUGUCAAAGAUGGCUUAUCUGUCAUUGGUGAUAAUAUUGACAAAAUUUGAGGCAAUGUUACUUAUUGGUCGGGUACACCAAAAGGACAUGAAAAAUUUGAGGACACUACUCGUCAACUUGGAGUACCAUACACUAAAAAAAUAUCACUUGAUUGUAUAACGAGGUGGAAUUCAACUUUUCUGAUACUUAGCACAGCUUUAUCGCACAAGACAAUAUUUAAACAUGCAAGGUUGCGUUUGUUGCGUUUUAGGAGUGUCCCUUCGGAAAUUGAUUGGCAAGAUGUUCAACAAUUGUGUGAUAAGUUAGAGUUGUUUCAUGAAGUGAUGAUUAUUUUCUGGAACAAAAUACCUUACCGUUAAUAUUUUUUUUUCCAAAAAUAUGUGAAAUUAAGACAAACAUUGAAUCAUGGAUGUCAUCAGAUGUGCCUUUUAAUAAGGACAUGACAACUCAAAUGAUGUCUAAGUUCUAGAAAUAUUGGGGAAAGAUUCACGGGCUUAUGUGUGUGGCGGUUGUUUUAGACCUGAGGUACAAGUUCAUGUUGUUCGAAUAUUAUUUUCCUGUAAUCUAUGGAGAUGAGUAAUAUGUAAUUGAAAUUGCGAAUGUUCGUGAGCUUUGUUGCAAGCUAUUGGAGUAGUACGAGUUUAAGCUUUCUCAUUUGAGAGAAAGAGAGGUUCAGGAAGAAAAUGUAUCGACAUCGUUUUCAACACGACGAUUGGAUGCCCUUUCUAACUUUGACAGAUUUGUUAGAGCUUCCUAUCGAGUAGAGAAUAUGAAAUCUGAACUGGAUUUACAUUUAGAGGAGAACUUGGUACCUAGUACUGAAGAGUUAUUUGAUAUAUGCAACUAUUGUAAGGUGACGGGCCUCAAAUACCCUUUGUUGAGUAUGAUUGCCAAGGAUGUAUUUGCUGUGCCUGUUAGCACUGUUGCUUGCAUGUAGAUUCUGAAGUAAUAGUGCUAACAGACACAACAAAUACAUCCUUGGCAAUCAUACUCAACAAAGGGUAUUUGAGGCCCGUCACCUUCCAAUAGUUGCAUAUAUCAAAUAACUCUUCAGUCUUAGGUACCUAGUUCUCCUCUAAAUAUAAAUCCAGUUCAGACUUCAUAUUCUCUACUCGAUAGGAAGCUCUAACAAAUCUGUCAAAGUUAGAAAGGACAUCUUAUCGACGUGUUGAAGACGAUGUCGAUACAUUUUUUUCCUGAACCUCUCUUUCUCUCAAAUGAGAAAACUUAGACCCGUACUCCUCCAGUAGCUCGCAACAAAGCUCAUGAACAUUUGCAAUUUCAGUUACAUAUUGCUCAUAUUCAAGCAAUAUGAACUUGUACCUCGGGUCUAAAACAACUGCCACACACAUAAGCUUGUGAAUCUUUUUCCAAUAUUUCUAGAACUUGGACAUCAUUUGAGUUGCCAUGUCCUUAAUUAAAGGCACAUAUGAUGACAUUCAUGAUUCAAUGUUUUGUCGUAAUUCCACAUUUUUAGGAAAAAAAUAUCGGCGGUUGGGUACUUUGUUCCAGAAAAUAAUUUCGUCAAUUCAUGAAACAACUCUAAUUUGUCACACAAUUGUUGAGCAUUUUGCCAAUUAAUUUUCGAAGGGGUACACCUCAAACACAACUCACACAGCCUUGUACGUUCAAAUAUUGUCUUGUACGAUAUAACUGUGCUAAACAACAAAAAGGUUGAAUUCCAUCUUAUUACACAAUCAAGUGAUAUUUUUUUGGUGUAUGGUACUCUAAGUUGACGAGUAGUGUCCUCAAAUUUUUCAUGUCUUUUUGGUGUACCCGACCAAUAAGCAACACUGUCUCGAAUUUUGUCAAUACUAUCACCAAUGACAGUUAAGUAAUCUUUGACAAUUAGAUUUAAAAUAUGUGCACAACAACGCACACGUAGCAACUUUCCCUUCAAAAUAAAACUGUCAGACUCAAAUUGUCCUUUCAAAAGCUCAAUCAUAGCAUCAUUUGAAGUACAGUUAUCAAGAGUCACUGUACUGAUCUUGUCUUCUAUUUUCUAUUCAUUAAGACAAGAUCUUAGGGCCUCAAGUAGUGAUGGAGCAUCAUGAGGACACGGAACAUACUUAAAACUCAAUAUCUGACUGUGUAAUUUCUAAGAAACAUCAAUAAAAUGAGCUGUUACAGCUAUAUAUCCCAUCUUCUAAUGAUUUGCAGUCCAUAUGUCACUAGUUAUGGCUAUUCUACUAUAACUUUUUUCUAAAAUUUGCAUGCACAUUUCUUUCUCAGUUUUAUACAUUUUCAUAAUGUCAGACCUAAUCGUAUUCUUUGACACUAUUUGAAACAUGGGACACAAAGUGCUUGAAUAUUCUAUUAGCCUGCUAUGCUCAACCAUAGACAAAGGAUAUUCAUACUCAACAAUCAUUUGAGCCAAUUUGAUCCUUAUUAAAUCAAGAUCAAAAUUGAAAGUAACUGAAGGGCUUGCAGUUGCACUAGGAUUGGCGGCAAGUUGGGCCUUUCUUACUGGACACCUCUCUAAGUGAGAAUUUAAAUGCCUAGUCCCUUUAGAUCUUUCUCCCACCAGCUUACUCUCGCAAUAAUUGCAAAUUGCUUUAAUUUUUCCAUCAAUAUUUUGCCGCGUGAAAUGAUCCCAUGCACGAGAGGUUCUUUUUCUCUGUGUCCCUGUAGUAUGAGCUUCUUCUACUGUAUUACUAACAGAUUGUACUUCAUUUGCAGUUGAUGGCACAAAGUCAAUAUCAUCCUCAAAAUUAGAAUCAAUUCGAUUAGACCUUUUAUUUUAACCUACAUUAACACCAUAUUCUCAUAUCUAUCAAUUAAUCCAUGCAAUUGCUUUAAAAAUAUUAUAAACAUAUCUACGGAAAAUGGACAACAUUUUUCCUAUUUUAUUAAUCUAAUCAUCUGUCAAUUUUAACUAUAAAUAAUUAGAUAACUCAAAAUUUUUCAUCCUUAUAUCACCGCAGCACACAAAUUUCGUAAAACCUACUUCGCUAUGGAUGAAUAUAAAAGAUAUUCAAGCUCUUCUAUGAAUUAUAUGUAAUAGAAUAAAGCAAUUAUAAAAAAUUUAUAUAUAUAUAUAUACCUCCUAUGAAUCGAGAUUGAAAUUUCCACUUGACUUAAAUUCUUUUCAAACACUUGCAAAACGUCAAAGCCUAUAAAAAGAUAAACACAUUUCAUUAUACAAUAACUUUAAGUAAUCAAACUAGUACAUAUAUAACUUCAAACAUAAAUUUAAGUCUAAACUGUCAUUUAAACAUAAGACCAUUGAAAUUCACUUUUUUUUGCCAUCUUUAUGAUUUUGGGCAAGCAACAUAACUACUUCAUCCUUAGCUCAUUCAUCUUCAAGUUUACUACACAAUUUGUCCUCAAAUAUUUUUUUUGAGAUGAAAUUUGAACCCUAUUUUAAACUCUAUUGUACUCUGUAACUCGUUUUAUUUGCUUAUUAAUUAUGUUUAUUUUUCUAAUUGUAGCACAGUAGAUUGAAUUCUACACUGAAUUUGGGUCAAAUAUUCUCUUUGCAUGAACUUAACUGGAGAAGGUUAAUGAAAUUGAUUAACUUGAAUGGAUCCACUUAAGUUAUUUGUGUUUAGUUCAAGAAAAAUAAACUUACAAAGGCCUAUUUUCUGAUUACAACUACUUGGUUAGUUUUCUAAAAGCAAAUAGCAAAGAAACAAAUUUACAAUAAGAGUAAAUGGCUGAAGUUUAACCUUUAGCAUUAAGAGGAACUGGAAGUUCACAUGACCCAACUGGGAGUUGAACCUUAUUCCUCAAUUUAUUACGAUUUGGUUCAUACAGCUAGGCAUUCCUUUCUUGUGUGAUGAGAUCUUUACAAGUAAACAGAUUCGGGAUUGGAAAGCACUCGGUCACAAAAAGCACAUGAAUCGGAUGAUACCGUUUGGCAGAUGAAGCAAAUCUUGCUGCUUCUAGUUGCAAAUGCAAACGAGCCACAUCUCUUGAACAUUUACAUAUAGCUGAAAAGUCAUCAACGAGAUUUUCUAAACCUUGAAAUGUAAAAUGAUUCAGAUAACAAUAAACACAAGAUGAAUAACAGAAUAUAGAAGAUUUUAAUAUUGACAAUGGGUUUAAACCAGAUUCGGGCCAGUUGGGAAGAAGAAGAAAAAGGGAAAUGGUGGAAGAGUAAAAUUCAUUUAGAAAUUUAGGGUUUUUUUUAAUAUUUGAAAUCAGGCUGGGUCUAACCCGACCCGAAAUAAUAUAUACCGGGCUGGGAGCUCGAUAAAAGCCCGACUCGGCCCGCAAAAUUGGCCCUAAUUGCCAUCCCUAGUCCGGCCUAAACUGGUCCGAUUAUCUCGGGUCGGGCUUGACUCGCUAGGCCAAAAGAAGGAGUCGGGUCGGGCCAAAGUGAUAUCGGGUCGGGCCGGGUUUGUGGCGGGGUCAGGCCCGACCUGACCCGAUUGACAUUCCUAGUUGAAUGAGAUAGGAUGCUGAGACACAGUUUCUAGAAGAUAAGCAAGGUAAGGGAAGCACAUAUUCCUGAAAAUGUUCCAAAGUUGCAUACAGCAGUAGAGACUGACUUUCUAAAGACUUGUUGCACUAGUUUGUUUGCUCGUCAUGAUUUUAGGAAUAAAGUUUUAAAAUAAUUAUAGUUAAUACAUAAUGAAGAUAUUCUAUUUUCUUA